This 468-nucleotide ribosomal RNA is filed under the name uncultured bacterium. Its description in RNAcentral is "partial 16S ribosomal RNA". It matches the Rfam family "Bacterial small subunit ribosomal RNA", at positions 28 to 507 of the family's 1533-position model. The record is from RNAcentral.
GACGAACGCUGGCGGCGUGCUUAACACAUGCAAGUCGAACGGAAAGGCCCUGCUUUUGUGGGGUGCUCGAGUGGCGAACGGGUGAGUAACACGUGAGUAACCUGCCCUUGACUUUGGGAUAACUUCAGGAAACUGGGGCUCAUACCGGAUAGGAGCUCCUGCUGCAUGGUGGGGGUUGGAAAGUUUCGGCGGUUGGGGAUGGACUCGCGGCUUAUCAGCUUGUUGGUGGGGUAGUGGCUUACCAAGGCUUUGACGGGUAGCCGGCCUGGGAGGGUGACCGGCCACAUUGGGACUGAGAUACGGCCCAGACUCCUACGGGAGGCAGCAGUGGGGAAUAUUGCACAAUGGGCGGAAGCCUGAUGCAGCAACGCCGCGUGCGGGAUGACGGCCUUCGGGUUGUAAACCGCUUUCGCCUGUGACGAAGCGUGAGUGACGGUAAUGGGUAAAGAAGCACCGGCUAACUACGUG